Molecule: long non-coding RNA, 1563 nt
Organism: Astatotilapia calliptera (eastern happy)
Lineage: Eukaryota; Metazoa; Chordata; Actinopteri; Cichliformes; Cichlidae
Source: Ensembl
GUCGGGGUUGGGUUAACAGAGCGCAUGGACUUUCUUUUCAAAAUGAUGGGCAUUGCAGCUCCAGAUUUAUUUAAGGGAGAUUAAAUGAUACGAUAUAUACACACACAUAUAAUUCUUUGAUUUAGUUGGAUUUCAUAAUUUUAACACUUUCAAAACAGAACUUUCAUUCCCAGUCCUUUGUAGUGGACAGUAGGACUUACCAACUUCCAUUUAUAAGUGAGACGAAGAGAAUUUUACCCAGAAUUGUAGACAGGGUCUCAGGCGCAUAGCUGUCUGGGGAUGAAGUGUAGGAGGGCCAGGUAUUAAAGCAGAAAGGUGAAAGUUCAAAGCACCUACCAGCAUUCGAGAAGCGUCACUGUCCAGUUUUACAUCGCCACAGACUGAGGUUGCCAACCAAAGAAGAAUCAACAGAUAUAUUUCAAGACAAAGAUUAAACUAUUUGGCCACAAAAGCAAGAGGUAUUUUUGGAGGCAUCAAGGUGAGGCUUUUCAAACCUAACGACACUGCAUCAACUGUCAAGCAUGGUGGUGGUAGUAUCAUGCUCUGUAGCUGUUUUGUUGCCAGUGGUACUGGUGUGUUGCACAAAAUGGAUAGCCAAAUGAAGGGGGAUUACCUCAAAAUUCAUUAAUCCGCUAGACCAGUGGUUCUUAACCUGGGUUCGAUUGAACCCUAGGGGUUCGGUGAGUCAGUCUCAGGGGUUCGGCAGAGCCUCCGCCGUGACAUGCAUGGCUCAUUUUGUGCACCAGUAAAAAACAUAUCUAUGUCUUGAAUUUCAAAAAAAAUAUCAUAUUUUAUUUUUCACUAAAGAGGGGUUCAGUGAAUGCGCAUAUGAAACUGGUGGGGUUCGGUACCUCCAACAAGGUUAAGAACCACUGCGCUAGACGGUUAAACUUGGACACAGUUGAGUGUUUCAGCAAGACUGGUUGUGGAAUAGGUAAUGCAGGCUAACACUGAGCUUCUGGAAUAGCUUUCCCAAAGCCCCAACCUCAUCAACUGAAAAUUUGUGGAUUAUGCUUAGAAGCCACGUCUAUGCAAGGAAACCAACCAAUUCAAAUGGCUUCUGUCGGUUCUGCAAGGAAGAGUGUUCAAGUAUUCAGUCACAAUUACGCCAGAAACUUGUUGAUGGCUAUCAAAAGUGUCUGAGGUGCAACUCUCUAAGGGACAUUUCACCAAUUAUUAGUGGAAGUGCAUAUAUAUUUAAACCUGUAUGUAUAUUUUUGACUGUGGAUUAGAGAAAACAUGAAAUAAAUUCAAAGAUCUGCACCCAAUUCUUGUUUUUUAAAGUCAUGAAAGAUGUAUGCUGUAUAACCCCCCCACCCAUCCCGGAAGAAGAACAAUUAAAAAAAAAAAAAUCAUUAGAAGCCAGCAUUACCUUGAAAUUCAUGCCCAUGAUGACUGUAUGUAAACUUCUAAAUACCACUGUAUAAUUAUCUACAUAAUGAGGUCAUCUUAAAGCACAAGGAGAUAGGAACAUUUACAUAUAUUUCAAGUGUUUACUGAUGAUCAUUAAGUGUAGUUUCAGAGUCAGUUCUUUUAUAAAAGAAUACAAAAAAUACUGUAUAA